RNAcentral lists this transfer RNA (67 nucleotides) under Marmota monax (woodchuck). Its description in RNAcentral is "tRNA.Ala". The record is from RNAcentral. Lineage: Eukaryota; Metazoa; Chordata; Mammalia; Rodentia; Sciuridae.
GGUUGUGGCUCAGUGGUAGGGUGCUCAUCUAGCAUGUUUGAGGUACUGGGUUCAAUCCUCAGUACCA